ACUCCUACGGGAGGCAGCAGUGGGGAAUUUUGGACAAUGGGCGAAAGCCUGAUCCAGCAAUGCCGCGUGAGUGAAGAAGGCCUUCGGGUUGUAAAGCUCUUUUGUCAGGGAAGAAACGGUGAGAGCUAAUAUCUUUUGCUAAUGACGGUACCUGAAGAAUAAGCACCGGCUAACUACGUGCCAGCAGCCGCGGUAAUACGUAGGGUGCAAGCGUUAAUCGGAAUUACUGGGCGUAAAGCGUGCGCAGGCGGUUUUGUAAGUCUGAUGUGAAAUCCCCGGGCUCAACCUGGGAAUUGCAUUGGAGACUGCAAGGCUAGAAUCUGGCAGAGGGGGGUAGAAUUCCACGUGUAGCAGUGAAAUGCGUAGAUAUGUGGAGGAACACCGAUGGCGAAGGCAGCCCCCUGGGUCAAGAUUGACGCUCAUGCACGAAAGCGUGGGGAGCAAACAGGAUUAGAAACCCGAGUAGUCCCAUGA
This 474-nucleotide ribosomal RNA is filed under the name uncultured organism. Its description in RNAcentral is "partial 16S ribosomal RNA". It matches the Rfam family "Bacterial small subunit ribosomal RNA", at positions 335 to 800 of the family's 1533-position model. The record is from RNAcentral.